Molecule: non-coding RNA, 1922 nt
Organism: Oryctolagus cuniculus (rabbit)
Lineage: Eukaryota; Metazoa; Chordata; Mammalia; Lagomorpha; Leporidae
Source: RefSeq, a predicted model, not a curated record
GCCGAACUUCUCCUCCCCCCUCACCUGACAGGUGCAGCGGCCUGGCCAGAGGGCCCGCCCGCCGGCCCGGGAUGGGAGCUACAGGAGCCUCAUUAGCAUCUCAAUUAAAGAUUUAUUUGAAAGGCAGACUAACAACAGAGAGAGAGAGAGAGACCGUGCAUCUGCUGGUUCACUUCCCAAAUAGCCACCACAGCCAGAGCUGCACCAGGCCGUAGCCAGGAGCCAGGAGUUCCAUCCUGGUCCCCGACAUGGGUGGCAAGACCAUCUUCUGCUGCCUUCCCAGGCACAUUAGCAGGAAACUGGAUCAGAAACAGAGUAGCCGGGGCUGGAACCAGCACUCCAAUAUGGGAUGCCGGCGUGGGUGUGCCUGGAGACCACAGCAUUCUAGAACUGGAAUGAGCCGGAGCUGGCUUGCUGUUGUGAGAAAAGCAGAAACCUGAUACCUGUUCUGAGGUCAGAGCUCCAUCUUAAAUAUUAUCUCUGAAAGUGCAGAAAUAAUACACAAAUACACUUGUGCAAUCCAGUUUUCCAGCAAUUCAGAAUAAAACAAAACAACAAAAGCUUCCCUUUAACUAAUUCCUUUCCCUACACUUGGGCCAAAGGGAGCCAAGAUUGUUUGUUUAUCUGUGUCGUUUUGUGUGCCUUUAAAGAUAUUCUUUAAAGUUUUAGAUUCAUUUUCAUUUUGUUUGAAAGAGAAACAGAGAGAGACAGAGACAGACAGAUCAAGAUCUUCCAUCCACUGCUUCACUCCACAGAUGUCUGCAACAGCCAGGCCUGGGCCAGGCCAAAGCCAGGAACUUGGAACUCAUCUCCCAUGUGGCGACCCAAGUACUUGAGCCGUCACUGCUUGCCUCCCAGGGUCUGCAUUAGCAGCAAGUUGGAAGCAGAAGCAAAACGAGGACUCAAACCCAGUUACUCCAAAGGGAUGCGGGCAUGCCAAGCAAUUUUAGCCGCUGCACCAAACCCACCCUGAGAAGUUGAGGCUUGUUUUUUGGAGGUUAGGGACAUUGUUGACCUUGGCUUGCAGAGGUCCCUAUUCCAGAGCUCACCUUAGCCUCUCCCAGAGCCCAGCCUUUCCUUCCACCUCAGGUGUACCUUCCUCCUCCCUGUACCAGCCACCCUCUAACCCUGUGGUAUGAUCGUAGAAUGUGCAAAGCCUGCAGGGGACCUGCAGUGGAGUGAGGAUCCUGAACGGGCAGGGUCCUCCUGCCUCUUAUUCUCUGUAUGAUGAGAGGAAUUGCUCUCCCCUCCACACAACCAGGGAGAGCCCAUCUCAGCACUUCCCACUGCUUACUGUUUGUCAUUGUCCUGGUGUGUGUCUGCACAUGUGUGUGUGUGUGUGUACAUAUGCGCAUGUGUGUAUUGGUCCUCUUCUCAUCACCUUAACUGAUUACCAAAGAGGGAUUUCUUGGGAAAGAAAAGCCUUAUUUCCAUUUUGAGUUUGGAGGUGACAGUUCAGGUGGAGCGGUCCCAUGGCCUGGCAUGUGUGGAGGCUGGUCAUGGCGGCGGGAGAGGAAAGACCACAUGGUGAAUCAGGAAGCAGAGAGAGAAGAGCUGGGCCCAACUUGAGCUCAGAACAAUCAACCCUCUUGCAAGAACCGCCCUGCAAGGGCACACCCCCAGUGACCUAAGCCCCUCCCACCACGCCCACUUCUCAGCCACCUAAGGAGAUGGAGUCUCUCCCCUUGAUCCCUUAGCCAUUAACAUGAGGACAUCCGAGUUUCAACAUCUGCAUGAGUUUUGGGGACACAGGUUCUGCUGCACUCAGUGUGUUGACAUGUAUGUGGAUCCUACUGUGAGUAGGGGACCAGGCUUCAAGCUCUUUGGGACCUCAGUGUCUAAUGGUCACUAUUUGUGGACCCACUCUGCAGGAGACAGAAGAUUUGCAAUUAAGUAAGAGUCAAGGUUUGUCUUUUUUAUUU